RNA transcript from Cynoglossus semilaevis (tongue sole), 2324 nucleotides. It is a transcript of the gene named insulin gene enhancer protein isl-1-like, with no coding region annotated. The transcript is spliced from 7 exons. NCBI's taxonomy places the organism in Eukaryota, Metazoa, Chordata, Actinopteri, Pleuronectiformes, Cynoglossidae. The record is from RefSeq and is a predicted model, not a curated record.
ACACACACACACCCGCCACGCGUACACACGCAGCCACGGACACACACUCUCUCCUUUCUCUCUUUCACUGUGCUGCAGUGAAGCCCGUGGCCCUGCAGCCCUGCUGAUCUGCAGCCAGCCGAAGACGCAUCCUCCAUCCGGUCACACUUCCAGGCUCUGCCCGCUGUGACAGUGGACCUAACGUCGCCAUACUUUGUGGACAUGGGAGACAUGGGGGACCCGCCGAAAAAGAAGCGGCUUGUCUCUCUAUGCGUGGGCUGCGGAAACCAGAUCCACGACCAGUACAUCCUUCGGGUCUCCCCGGACCUGGAAUGGCACGCUGCGUGUCUCAAGUGCGCCGAGUGCAGCCAGUACCUGGACGAGUCGUGCACUUGCUUCGUGCGGGACGGAAAGACUUACUGUAAACGGGACUAUAUCAGGUUAUACGGUAUCAAAUGCGCCAAAUGCAACAUCGGCUUCAGCAAGAACGACUUCGUGAUGCGGGCCCGCACCAAGGUUUACCACAUCGAAUGUUUCCGCUGCGUGGCCUGCAGCCGUCAGCUCAUUCCCGGAGACGAGUUCGCACUGCGGGAGGACGGUCUCUUCUGCCGGGCGUACCACGACGUGGUGGAGCGGGCGAGUCCCGGAGCAGAACCAAUCUCGGCCCGUCAGCCUGCGCUGCGGCCUCACGUCCACAAACAGCCGGAGAAGACCACCAGGGUUCGAACGGUUCUGAAUGAAAAGCAGCUGCACACGCUGCGGACAUGUUACAACGCCAACCCGCGGCCCGACGCACUCAUGAAGGAGCAGCUGGUGGAAAUGACCGGCCUCAGCCCGCGGGUCAUCCGGGUCUGGUUCCAGAACAAGCGCAGCAAGGACAAGAAGAGGAGCCAGUUGAUGAAGCAGCUACAGUCUCAGCAGACGAGCGACAAAACGAACAUCCAGGGAAUGACGGGCACUCCGAUGGUGGCAGCCAGUCCGGAGCGACACGACGGCGUCAUCCAGGCCAACCCGGUGGAGGUGCAGAGCUACCAGGCGCCGUGGAAGGUCCUCAGCGACUUCGCCCUGCAGAGUGACAUCGACCAUCCGGCCUUCCAGCAGCUGAGUCUCAUUCAAAUUGGAGUCAAAGGAGAAAUUAUGGAGAACAAGAGAGAGUCAAACAAUGCAGACACACAGUGAAAGGAACAGAAGAAGGAAAAAAUAAAGAGUUACCAGGAAGUGCAGAAGCAUCAAAACAUGGGACUUUCCAUUUUUGGACAUACACUUUGAUAUUGUCACACAGAGUGUGAUAGGUUUUACAUUAGGAUCUAUUAUAUGUCGAUAACCCUCUUGUAUUUGAUGUUCAUCAAUAUUACAAUAUCAGCAUGUUCUGCAGGUCUGUAGGUCGGGGGCUCAGGCAGGAGGCGCAUGGAGAAAGUCCGGGUGGCCACCUUUACACCCUCUAGUUCUCCCUCAUCUGGAUAAGAGCUGUUCUGUCAGUUUCUCAGAGGGGGGGCCGGGUUCAAACUCGACGGGCAGUGAGGUGGCGUCCAUGUCGUCGCAGCUUCCAGACACGCCAAACAGCAUGGUAUCCAGCCCCAUCGAGGCCUAAGAACAUUUUGGUGGACACGUGGAAAUGGACUGAUGUGACUGGACAGACACAAACAAACACACACUGCUGAUCCAAACCUACCACGGCCACCACCACCCUUUCUAACAGACUGACCUGACCGAGCCCGCCUACCCUGGUUGCAUUUUGACACUGUGAAGACAAUCAUGGCAUUUUACCACAUUAGAACCAGAUCGUAAUAAUGUUCCACCGAGAGACAAAGAAUAUGGACAUCCUGAGGAUGGACCUCAGAGUGUCUCCAUCUAUCCAUCCAUGCGUCAUUGUGUUACACACCUGGUUAAAGUUGCCAAAAGGAGGAGAAAAUAAACAUUGGGUCCAUCGUCAAAUGGGAAAUGGGAAUAAGAAGCUGCGCAGGAUGUUGUGCAACUUGAAAACUUUUUCUAAAAAAAAAGGAAAAGAAAUAAUGCACUUCAUCCUGUAUUAAGAUUGUUGGGAGGGAACAACACUGCUUUUUCUUUGUUAAAUUCCCACCAGCUCCCCAGAAAAAAACAAAACAAAAAAAAAAAAACACCAAGUACUAAAAAAAAAAGCAUUUUUCAACAAAGUAUACCUCUAUUUUGCCACAAGGUUUGUGGGACAUUUGGUGUCUGUCUGAGACCGUUUGGAUUUUUUUUGUUUUGUUUUCUUAUUUUUCCCAAAGAUGUGUAAAUUAGUAUUUCUUUAAGUUAAAAGAAAAAGACUGUUAUAGCUCUGGAAGAAAAUGUUUUUGUUUGUUGUAUUAUUUAUUAUUGAAAAU